AAGUCGUAACAAGGUUUCCGUAGGUGAACCUGCGGAAGGAUCAUUUCUGAGAUUGUACUCUCUUCUCUUUUCCGUGCUUUGUUUUGAAGGGGGAAGUAAGAGCUUGUCUUUUUGCUUUCCUUUUUGAGGCGGCCGGGAGAGAAGGGGUAUAUCAAAGUGAGAAUGUGGUAUAUAUGCAAAUCUUUUUUGUUGGAUUCGUUCCCUUUGGAUGCCUUUGUUGGUGGAAAAGGGGGAAGGAUUUGACUAUCAAAAAAGGAUUUCAUUUUUAAAUUACAAAAACCAAGGUUACUAUUAUGUACAUUCAAAAAAUAUACAAAAACAAAAUACAACUGUCAACGGUGGAUCUCUUGGCUCGU
This 356-nucleotide unclassified non-coding RNA is filed under the name fungal sp. RNAcentral describes it as "partial internal transcribed spacer region". The stretch from base 1 to 46 matches the Rfam family "Eukaryotic small subunit ribosomal RNA", at positions 1786 to 1831 of the family's 1831-position model. The record is from RNAcentral. Lineage: Eukaryota; Fungi.